UCUCAGUUUAAAUCAUUAAUGCAAUCUGUUCUAAGGCAACACAAUAUUACUGUAACAUAGUUUAAUCUGUAUAAUGUUGGAUAAUAUUUUAGCAAAAUGUCAAAAUGCACAGUUAACUUUAGACAUAUGUGUUCAGAACAAUAACUAUGAAAUCACUAUGGAUUUUACAAAUACUUAAUAAAAACCUGAACCGGAAUACGUUAACUUUAAUCAUAAAAAAGCGCAACAGUUGUCAAAACUCACAUGUGAACAACAUAAUGUGGUAGUGCGAAUUAUCGGAAGUGAAAAUGCAUAAACAGGAAAACAUGCUUGACAGUCCUGGAUCAAGGUCUCCAAGAACGCCGCACAGAUCACCUAGGCAACAUCGAAAGCUAACUCUUCCAACUGAGUUUCAAGACGAUUUAGAGCAUUCAGUAUUGCUUAGAAAGUUAACAACAAUGGAAGACGGGAAAAGCGACGAGUGUCAGUUUAGAAACAUUAGAGGCUCACGAUGGUGAGAGUUCGAAAAUAAUGAAUCGACUGAAAAUCUUGACAAUUCAUGCCUUUGGAAGGCAAAGAGAAUUUUUAAAAGCUGUUUACAAAGGAGCUAGAUC
Molecule: long non-coding RNA, 593 nt
Organism: Ruditapes philippinarum (Manila clam)
Lineage: Eukaryota; Metazoa; Mollusca; Bivalvia; Venerida; Veneridae
Exons: 3
Source: RefSeq, a predicted model, not a curated record